RNAcentral lists this ribosomal RNA (373 nucleotides) under uncultured Glomeromycotina. RNAcentral describes it as "LSU rRNA". Lineage: Eukaryota; Fungi; Glomeromycota. The record is from RNAcentral.
UUGAAAGGGAAACGAUUGAAGUCAGUCGUAUCAGCGGGAAAUCAACCUUUCGAGUGGGGUUUUGGAGUUUUUUGAAGAGUGUCAAAACCUUUAUUUCAAAAUAUUCGCUCUUUUGGUGUACUUUCUCGUGGGUAGGUUAACAUCGAUUUUGAUCAUCAUAAAAAGAUUGGAGGAAUGUAGCUUCGAUCUUGUAUUGAAGUGUUAUAGCCUUUGGUAAAUGUGAUGAUUAGGAUCGAGGAUUGCAACGAAUACCCUUUUGGGCUAUCCGCCUGAUCUCUGAUACGUGGCCUUGGUAUCGAAAGCGUGCUUAUGGUAUUGAGGUAUUACGGUCAAAAGGUUAGAACGGAUUACAUUCGUUAAGGAUGUUGACGUA